This 513-nucleotide ribosomal RNA is filed under the name uncultured bacterium. Its description in RNAcentral is "partial 16S ribosomal RNA". It matches the Rfam family "Bacterial small subunit ribosomal RNA", at positions 28 to 523 of the family's 1533-position model. The record is from RNAcentral.
GACGAACGCUGGCGGCAUGCCUAAUACAUGCAAGUCGAGCGAACAGAUGAAGUGCUUGCGCUUCUGACGUUAGCGGCGAACGGGUGAGUAACACGUAAGGAAUCUACCUAUAAGCGGGGGAUAACAUUCGGAAACGGGUGCUAAUACCGCAUAAUAUCUUCUUCCGCAUGGAAGAAGAUUGAAAGACGGCCAUGCUGUCACUUAUAGAUGACCUUGCGGUGCAUUAGUUAGUUGGUGGGGUAAUGGCCUACCAAGACGAUGAUGCAUAGCCGACCCGAGAGGGUGAUCGGCCACAUUGGGACUGAGACACGGCCCAAACUCCUACGGGAGGCAGCAGUAGGGAAUCUUCCGCAAUGGGCGAAAGCCUGACGGAGCAAUGCCGCGUGAGUGAAGAAGGCCUUCGGGUCGUAAAACUCUGUUAUAAGAGAAGAACAAAUUGUAGAGUAACUGCUACAGUCUUGACGGUAUCUUAUCAGAAAGCCACGGCUAACUACGUGCCAGCAGCCGCGGUAA